RNAcentral lists this ribosomal RNA (465 nucleotides) under Vreelandella stevensii. Its description in RNAcentral is "partial 16S ribosomal RNA". It matches the Rfam family "Bacterial small subunit ribosomal RNA", at positions 338 to 795 of the family's 1533-position model. The record is from RNAcentral. Lineage: Bacteria; Pseudomonadati; Pseudomonadota; Gammaproteobacteria; Oceanospirillales; Halomonadaceae.
CCUACGGGCGGCUGCAGUGGGGAAUAUUGGACAAUGGGCGAAAGCCUGAUCCAGCCAUGCCGCGUGUGUGAAGAAGGCCUUCGGGUUGUAAAGCACUUUCAGUGGGGAAGAAAGCCUUGGGGCUAAUACCCUCGAGGAAGGACAUCACCCACAGAAGAAGCACCGGCUAACUCCGUGCCAGCAGCCGCGGUAAUACGGAGGGUGCGAGCGUUAAUCGGAAUUACUGGGCGUAAAGCGCGCGUAGGCGGUCUGAUAAGCCGGUUGUGAAAGCCCCGGGCUCAACCUGGGAACGGCAUCCGGAACUGUCAGGGUAGAGUGCAGGAGAGGAAGGUAGAAUUCCCGGUGUAGCGGUGAAAUGCGUAGAGAUCGGGAGGAAUACCAGUGGCGAAGGCGGCCUUCUGGACUGACACUGACGCUGAGGUGCGAAAGCGUGGGUAGCAAACAGGAUUAGAUACCCGGGUAGUC